AGCAUAUCAAUAAGCGGAGGAAAAGAAACCAACAGGGAUUGCCUCAGUAACGGCGAGUGAGGCGGCAAGAGCUCAGAUUUGAAAUCCGGCAGGCUAUGUUUGCCCGAGUUGUAAUCUGGAGAGAGGACUUCGGUUUAGGCAUUGGUCAAGAUUCCUUGGAAUAGGAUGACAUAGAGGGUGAGAAUCCCGUACCUGGCUGACCGCCGACACCAUGUGAAGCUUCUUCGACGAGUCGAGUUGUUUGGGAAUGCAGCUCUAAAUGAGUGGUAAAUUCCAUCUAAAGCUAAAUAUCUGCGAGAGACCGAUAGCGCACAAGUAGAGUGAUCGAAAGAUGAAAAGCACUUUGAAAAGAGAGUUAAAAAGUACGUGAAAUUGUUGAAAGGGAAGCGCUUGCCAUCAGAAUUGGGGCCGGCCGAUCAGCGUUCCUUCUGGUUCGUGCACUCGGCCGGCAUCCGUGCCAGCACCAGUUGCGGCGGCAUGAUAAAGGCGGAGGGAAUGUGGCUCCCCUCGGGGAGUGUUAUAGCCCACCGUGCCAUGAUGCCUGCCGCGACUGAGGACCGCGCCCUAGGCAAGGGUGCUGGCCUAAUGGUUGUAAGCGGCCCGUCU
This 606-nucleotide ribosomal RNA is filed under the name uncultured fungus. RNAcentral describes it as "eukaryotic LSU rRNA". It matches the Rfam family "Eukaryotic large subunit ribosomal RNA", at positions 37 to 654 of the family's 3401-position model. Lineage: Eukaryota; Fungi. The record is from RNAcentral.